Long non-coding RNA from Arvicola amphibius (Eurasian water vole), 999 nucleotides. RefSeq lists it as uncharacterized. The record is from RefSeq and is a predicted model, not a curated record. The transcript has 3 exons. Lineage: Eukaryota; Metazoa; Chordata; Mammalia; Rodentia; Cricetidae.
GGCGCGGCGGCAGUGCGUGAGGCGGAGGGCUGCGGCGCUGGGCCGGGCCUGCGGGACGUGGGGGGCGCAGAGCAGGCGGCCACUUUUGUUCUGACGGCGUCAGACGCGCGGCACGCGAGGGGAGGGCGCUCUGGUCUCGAGCUUGGGCCCCCAGGCGCGGAGUCGGCGCUGGUCCGGGCCCGGCCCGUCCGGUCCCGCCCCAGCAGCCCUGCCUCUUCGCUGCUGGCUCCUCGCCUCCUUGCUCGCGAGCCUGCCGGGUGACAUCGGACUAGGAAGACGCCAGCGCAGUUCGUGCCUCUUCCCCUCGCCCUACGCUAGUGAUGGCGAAGUGGCGUCUGCAGGUUACAGACUGUCCUCGGCUCUCCCAACCGGCCAGCUUGACUCGGAAGUCCUUCUUAUCUUCAGGGAAUCACCAGCACCUGUUUCCUAAGCCAGAAACCUUCUGAGUCUCUUCAGAGGACACUCGAUGGGACACACGGGUAAGAGAACAAGUAACAGGUCUCGCCUGCCUACCUUUAGCUGGGCACCACUGUCAACUUCAGAAUGCCUUGAGUGUAGCAGGCCACUGCCACACCUCCACACAGUCCUAGCGAUAAGGAAACAAAGCCUAGAAGGGAUGAGCCACCAAGGACUGCCUCUUCUUCUCACAAACCUCACCCUCUGUGUGCCAGAGACCACAUUCAGUGAUGGAGGAGUCCCUGCUUCCAGAAAGUUCAGGUUAGAGGCACAGAAGAGUAACAAGUGCAGAAUAAAUCAAGGGCAGUUUUCUGAGAAAAGUUCACCGGCUUUACCCACUAGUGGAUGUGUAAACCUGUGUGUCCAGACGGUGUAACAGUAUUUGGUCAGAGAAAGGAAUGCUGGCACUGAUACAACAUGAAAAUUAUGCUCAGAAAGGAUACAGUCAACAAGACAAAACAGCAGCCUGAGAUUGGGAAAAGAUCUUCACCAACCCCACGUCAGACAGAGGACUGAUCUCCAAAAUAUACAAAGAACUCAAGA